UGUAUUUCCUGACGAAAGGAGUAUACGCCUUGUGGCAUAAGCAAGUAUGAGUCCACUACUAUCUAUGUAACUGAUUAUUAUAUUCAUUAGUUUGACGUAAACACCUGAUGUGAAUAAGUUUCGGUCCCUCUCGUGGAAUGACACUUGCUAUAAAAAGAACUUAUUUGGAGGCCAAGUUUAUAUAGUUUUUGUGAGGAAGAGGAGGAAAUUAAGCAUGCCUAUCAACAAAGGCACAACAUGUGUUUUGUUAGUGAUGAUUUUCUUUGUGUUGUCCAUGAAUUCUUGGUGUGAAUAUGGUGAAGCGGCAAGAAUAUUCUUAGACUUCUCUACAAGUACUCAAGCGACACAAAGGAUGGACUACGUGGGCAGCAGCCACCGCCGGAGCACCAGGGCAUCUCCCCGUGGGGGCUAUCCUUCCCCGGCAGCAAAUGUGAAUGACCAUGUACAUCACUAGUGAUGAAUCUCUAUUUUGUUGUGGACUUAAUUCUCAUUUGAUUAUAUAAUGAGACUUUGUUUGAUUGUAUUUGUGUUUAUGCUAUUUCUA
Long non-coding RNA from Solanum stenotomum, 544 nucleotides. RefSeq lists it as uncharacterized. The record is from RefSeq and is a predicted model, not a curated record. Lineage: Eukaryota; Viridiplantae; Streptophyta; Magnoliopsida; Solanales; Solanaceae. The transcript has 2 exons.